AGUGAUCGCUGGCGGCGUGCUUAACACAUGCAAGUCGAGCGAAUUUCAGCAGUGUAUCGCUGAAGUUAGCGGCAGACGGGUGAGUAAUACUUGGGCAAUCUGCCCUUGAGUGGGAAACAACCGGCCGAAAGGCUGGCUAAUGUCCCAUAAGACCACAGGAUGGCAUCAUCCAGGGGUCAAAGCUCCGUAAGGGGCGCUUGAGGAGGAGCCUGAGGCCUAUCAUGGUAGUUGGUGAGGUAACGGCUCACCAAGCCUUUGACGGGUAGCCGGCCUGAAAGGGUGAUCGGCCACACUGGCACUGAGACACGGGCCAGACUCCUACGGGAGGCAGCAGUGGGAAUUUUGGACAAUGGGGCAACCCUGAUCCAGCGACGCCGCGUGAAGGAUGAAGGUCUUCGGAUUGUAAACUU
This 410-nucleotide ribosomal RNA is filed under the name uncultured bacterium. RNAcentral describes it as "bacterial SSU rRNA". It matches the Rfam family "Bacterial small subunit ribosomal RNA", at positions 29 to 432 of the family's 1533-position model. The record is from RNAcentral.